Neopsephotus bourkii (Bourke's parrot) is the source of this 1403-nucleotide long non-coding RNA. RefSeq lists it as uncharacterized. The transcript is spliced from 2 exons. The record is from RefSeq and is a predicted model, not a curated record. Lineage: Eukaryota; Metazoa; Chordata; Aves; Psittaciformes; Psittacidae.
GCUUUAGUGGAAGGGGUCCCUGCCCGUGGCAGGGGUUGGAACUGGAUGAGCUUUAAGGUCCCUUCAACACAAAUCAGGUUGGGAUUGUAUGAUUAUAAAAAUGAAAUAACCAGUCGGUUUUAGUUCAGAUGUUCCAUAGCCAAGUAAAUUUUCAGAGAAGAAUGUUUAAUCUGCUUUUUCCGUACACAUUUUCAAACCCUAAUCUUCAAAUAACCAGAACCAAAUCUUUUUCCAAGACUACUUUAGUGUUUUGGUAAAUAUGAAGUGAGAAGGCUAGCUCAAACCGACAGCAAAUGGGAUUGUUUUGGGAAGCUUUCUGUUUUGGCAGCGUUAGGUUUACAGUUGGACUCACUGCUCUUAAAGGUCUUUUUCAAUCAAAAUGAUUCUGUGACUUCAGUGAGACAAGAAUUUCCCUCCAUAGUUCUGGAACUGAGCUACCCCAUGAAGUCAGUCACUGGAACUGAAUUCUUGGCACUGAUGAGGGUUUCCUCACUUCAUCCAAAUUUGCAUGAAAUAAGGUAAAGGCAACAUUUCAUGACAGUUUGAUGAAGGCAGAUUGGGAAAUAGAGAAUACCUGGAAAUAAGCACAAGGAUUCUUUGUAAGCAGGAGUGGAGCAGUGCAGUCUUCCCAGGUUUGCUGUGGUUGGUGGGGAUCUGGUCAUGGUGUGGGACCUCCCAUCGCUCAGCGUGGAAGUGCAGAUGUUCAUCCAGCUGUUUCCUCAAGGGGUGCCUCAUGCUAAGCACUGCUGCAGUGGUGGGAAUCCCUGCCCCUUGCACCAGCAGGUAAUGAGGGCCUGUGAUCCCUGGGGGGGGCUGUAGAAGGGUUGUUUGUGGAUCACAUUGGGAGUAACACGAGUACUUCUACUCUUGUGUAACCUCUGCAACAAGGAAAUCGUGGCCAGUGGUGGUCAGAUGUUUUGUAACUCAUGGUUAUAAAACUCGGAAGAUGCACCAUAAGCAGGGGAUGGAGGUGUAAACGUGUGCAGGGCAGGAGCGGUUCUGAGGUACUGGGGGCGGUCAUGGAGAAACAGAUGCUGACAUUGUGUAUAUACUUGAUGGAGUGUUUUAAUUCAUCUUGCAUCUCAUGUUCUUGUAAAGCGCAUCUUCCUCCCAUGCUUCCAAGAUUGUCAACUUGUACAGUACUGUAUGGAGUCUGUUUACAGGAUUUCCAUCCUUGCUGGAGCUUCCAACGUAGACGUUUCUUUGGAAAACUGUUCCUACUGUUACUUUUUGUAAAUAGGUUUUUGUAUUCAACUUGCAUGGAUAAACCCCAUUUCCAAACCAGUGUACAUACGCUGUGUAUAAAAUACAGACUGUUUCAUAACUUUCAUGUAGUCAAGUUAUUCAAUAUGAUUUCACUUCAGGUUUUCUAUAUUCCUAGUAAAUGAUGAUGAUUUGUUGUA